AGAGUUUGAUCCUGGCUCAGGAUGAACGCUAGCUACAGGCUUAACACAUGCAAGUCGAGGGGCAGCAUGGUCUUAGCUUGCUAAGGCCGAUGGCGACCGGCGCACGGGUGAGUAACACGUAUCCAACCUGCCGUCUACUCUUGGACAGCCUUCUGAAAGGAAGAUUAAUGCAAGAUGGCAUCAUGAGUCCACAUGUUCACAUGAUUAAAGGUAUUCCGGUAGACGAUGGGGAUGCGUUCCAUUAGAUAGUAGGCGGGGUAACGGCCCACCUAGUCUUCGAUGGAUAGGGGUUCUGAGAGGAAGGUCCCCCACAUUGGAACUGAGACACGGUCCAAACUCCUACGGGAGGCAGCAGUGAGGAAUAUUGGUCAAUGGGCGAGAGCCUGAACCAGCCAAGUAGCGUGAAGGAUGACUGCCCUAUGGGUUGUAAACUUCUUUUAUAAAGGAAUAAAGUCGGGUAUGCAUACCCGUUUGCAUGUACUUUAUGAAUAAGGAUCGGCUAACUCCGUGCCAGCAGCCGCGGUAAUACGGAGGAUCCGAGCGUUAUCCGGAUUUAUUGGGUUUAAAGGGAGCGUAGAUGGAUGUUUAAGUCAGUUGUGAAAGUUUGCGGCUCAACCGUAAAAUUGCAGUUGAUACUGGAUAUCUUGAGUGCAGUUGAGGCAGGCGGAAUUCGUGGUGUAGCGGUGAAAUGCUUAGAUAUCACGAAGAACUCCGAUUGCGAAGGCAGCCUGCUAAGCUGCAACUGACAUUGAGGCUCGAAAGUGUGGGUAUCAAACAGGAUUAGAUACCCUGGUAGUCCACACGGUAAACGAUGAAUACUCGCUGUUUGCGAUAUACUGCAAGCGGCCAAGCGAAAGCGUUAAGUAUUCCACCUGGGGAGUACGCCGGCAACGGUGAAACUCAAAGGAAUUGACGGGGGCCCGCACAAGCGGAGGAACAUGUGGUUUAAUUCGAUGAUACGCGAGGAACCUUACCCGGGCUUAAAUUGCAGAUGAAUUACGGUGAAAGCCGUAAGCCGCAAGGCAUCUGUGAAGGUGCUGCAUGGUUGUCGUCAGCUCGUGCCGUGAGGUGUCGGCUUAAGUGCCAUAACGAGCGCAACCCUUGUUGUCAGUUACUAACAGGUUCUGCUGAGGACUCUGACAAGACUGCCAUCGUAAGAUGUGAGGAAGGUGGGGAUGACGUCAAAUCAGCACGGCCCUUACGUCCGGGGCUACACACGUGUUACAAUGGGGGGUACAGAGGGCCGCUACCACGCGAGUGGAUGCCAAUCCCAAAAACCUCUCUCAGUUCGGACUGGAGUCUGCAACCCGACUCCACGAAGCUGGAUUCGCUAGUAAUCGCGCAUCAGCCACGGCGCGGUGAAUACGUUCCCGGGCCUUGUACACACCGCCCGUCAAGCCAUGGGAGCCGGGGGUACCUGAAGUGCGUAACCGCGAGGAGCGCCCUAGGGUAAAACUGGUGACUGGGGCUAAGUCGUAACAAGGUA
RNAcentral lists this ribosomal RNA (1486 nucleotides) under metagenome. RNAcentral describes it as "bacterial SSU rRNA". It matches the Rfam family "Bacterial small subunit ribosomal RNA". The record is from RNAcentral.